This is a long non-coding RNA of Culex pipiens pallens (northern house mosquito), 236 nucleotides long. RefSeq lists it as uncharacterized. The transcript has 3 exons. Lineage: Eukaryota; Metazoa; Arthropoda; Insecta; Diptera; Culicidae. The record is from RefSeq and is a predicted model, not a curated record.
UGACCAUGAAGUGCUUAGCAAAUCGUUUAACAUGCUAAACUAAUUUAUUUAAUCUAUUUGCUUCCUAAAACGUGUUCCAAAACAUAUACUUAUGUUGUUCGCCACAAACCCUGAAAUCAUUGACCCACAUUCCUUGCCAUCAACAACGGCGCACUAAAAAUUCUUGAAGCUGGCCAUAUUGAAAUUGCCUGCUGUCGAGAUUUAGUGAUUCCGAAGAACCUCAUUCUUAUCCCAAC